This 1078-nucleotide long non-coding RNA is filed under the name Musa acuminata (dwarf banana). Its description in RNAcentral is "long non-coding RNA (MACU_LNC005926)". The record is from RNAcentral. Lineage: Eukaryota; Viridiplantae; Streptophyta; Magnoliopsida; Zingiberales; Musaceae.
CAAGGGGCGGGAAGAAAAGGUUAUGGAAGGAAAUGAUGAGAGCUGCAGAAUUAUUUAUUGUUGUUUCUUCAAUGAGAUCUGGGAGUCAUCUCCAUCUAUAAUGUCAUCCACAUAGGUGGAAUGGCGUCGAUAAGAAUUCAACUAAGGAAGGGAAGACUGCAAAGGUCAAGGAAAAUAUAUUCUAGAUCGAUUGCGUCGUACAACGAUGGUCGGCACUGCCGCUGUCGUCACCUCUUACCAUCGGUGGGUGGUGGGUGAUAACCCACGACACGCCAAACCUUCCAUUAGGCGUGGGCUCCAAACGCAAUCUACUGUAGUGGAACGAGGAAGCUGCUGGCUUGGGAGGUAUCCUCUCCCGUUACGCGAUCCAAGUCAACUGUUAGACCUCACGGCUUCCGAACGGAGAGGUUCUCGAUCAAGACCAAGCACGAAAAUUAAGGAAUCGAUUCGUCGACGGUCGGUUGAGAUGAUAUAAAGGGAUGGAAUCGACGGCUCGCGCGGAUUUUGAUGGGAUGCGGUCGAAAGAACAACGGCGAUAGGAACAUGGCGAUACGUUUCAUGCUAUAUCCAGAGAGUCUGCUGCAAUUACCUAAGAGCAAGUUUACGGAAGGAAAGGAAAGCUGUAGAGCUAAUGUUGUGAGAUAGAAGUGACUGUCUCAGGAAUACUUGUUUGGUUGAUCAUGAUGAAUAGUACUAAUUGGGGAUGAACUAAUAAUACACUUGUUUUUUACAUAAAUGUCCUUGUUUCAUAGGAGCUUACAUGGCUCCUAUAUAUCCAAUCUUCUUGACUUAUAAUGCAUGUCCAAUCCAACUCUCAAUGUUGAUGAUAUUUGCAUGAGUUUUGGCUUGGUUUUGUUUUGCUUUGGAGAAUUUUGAGCAGUUUUUUGGCUUUAAAUAAAUUCAUAUCCCUAACCUCUCUCCCAAUGCCAAGAAGCUGCAACAGUGAAGUAGUAUGGAGGAUAUUUGACCUUGCUAAUACAUAUUUAUGCUUGAUAAUAUACCUUCUAUCUAUUAGCCAGGAAUUACUAUACUAGCAAGUGCAGAUGUCCUCAGGUUCUUGAUGAAGACAAAAGAAGGC